This 1828-nucleotide long non-coding RNA is filed under the name Capsicum annuum. RNAcentral's name for it is "long non-coding RNA (CANN_LNC004363)". The record is from RNAcentral. Lineage: Eukaryota; Viridiplantae; Streptophyta; Magnoliopsida; Solanales; Solanaceae.
GCAUGAACUCGCUUGUCGAGUCCCUCGGAUUUCCUUCUCUCACAUUUCGUUGGGUUAGACCAGACUUGCAUCGAGUCAAACCUCAGAUCCAAGUCCCUACGGGACUGAUUUCUCACUGGUAUACAAUUAUAUAUGGCUGGUAUACCUUGGAAGCAGCUGCUUCAUACUACUACACCGAGCAAAAAUAAAAAAAAUGUAGGGGAAAUAAGCAAUUUUUCAAAUUAAACUAUUUUCUUGAAAACGAUCAUGGAAUUUAAAUUUCACUUUCUAGCUAUUUUAAUUUACUGACUGGUUCUAUAUCGUUUUUACACAACUUUUAUAUAGGUUUUAUACAAAUCUUAUACAUAAAUAUUCUAUACGGAAAUUAUACAGUUUUGAUACAUAAUUUAUAUAAUAAUUGUACAUUUGCACUUCAAAUUAAACUAUUUCCUUGAAAAUGGCUUUCAUCUUGUUGAGAUUUUUCCUUCUUCGUGAAUGUCCAGAAUGUCACGUCCGAUAGCUAGUUGAAAUCCGGCCAUAUUUUAUAUAUUGUUGUGUUCACUGGAAGUAGAAAAUCCCAUGUUGUAAGUGGACUAGUCAAUAAAGACAUAAUGUUUAGUGGACCUAGAGAGAUGAAUAACUGGAAAACUUUGGUACAAAAGGAUAAGUUUAUCUUUUAUGAAUCAAUGAUGUGAAGAUGUUUUGUCUUGUGGGUGCGCAGCCAUUUUAAUGUUAGUUUUCUUUCCUUUCAUAUGUUUUCCAGUAAACUGUGAAGUCAUGGAAAGUCUUCACUUUUGGUUCAAAAUGGUGAAAUCAUGUUUACUUUUCUUUUCUUUUUUUCUCUUUUGGAGUUUUGCAAUAUAAAAGUUGGAAGUCUCAGAAAAAAUAGUAUUGUUAAUGUAUUUGAAAUUCAUAUGCGUGCUGAUGAUGAUUUGGUUGCGGGUCUCCAAUUUGAAAAGAAGUUGUUAGGACACUUAUAAAGUUAGUAUGGAUCAUGUCGGUAGAUGUAUAAUUCGUUAACCUUUACUAAACAUUUUGUGGGGAUUCUUGGUAAAAAUGAUAAUCUGUGCUAUUGGGUGUCGAUUGAAUCUUUUGAUUUCGUAACGGGAUGAGUUUGUGAGUAUAGAAUGUUGUUUUUUGAGCUAUGAAUGUGGUGCUUGAAAACUUGAUCUACUUCUUCAUACUAAUCUUUAUCCUUUUUUCUAGGCAUGAACUCGCUUGUCGAGUCCCUCGGAUUUCCUUCUCUCACAUUUCGUUGGGUUAGACCAGACUUGCAUCGAGUCAAACCUCAGAUCCAAGUCCCUACGGGACUGAUUUCUCACUGGUAUACAAUUAUAUAUGGCUGGUAUACCUUGGAAGCAGCUGCUUCAUACUACUACACCGAGCAAAAAUAAAAAAAAUGUAGGGGAAAUAAGCAAUUUUUCAAAUUAAACUAUUUUCUUGAAAACGAUCAUGGAAUUUAAAUUUCACUUUCUAGCUAUUUUAAUUUACUGACUGGUUCUAUAUCGUUUUUACACAACUUUUAUAUAGGUUUUAUACAAAUCUUAUACAUAAAUAUUCUAUACGGAAAUUAUACAGUUUUGAUACAUAAUUUAUAUAAUAAUUGUACAUUUGCACUUCAAAUUAAAUUAUUUUCUUGAAAAUGAUUGGAAUUUAAAUUUCACUUUGUAGCUAUUUUAAUUUACUGAUUGGUUCUAUAUCGUUUUUACACAACUUUUAUACAGGUUUUACAAAAAUCUUAUACAUAAAUAUUCUAUACGGAAAUUAUACAGUUUUAAUACAUAAUUUAUAUAAUAGCUGUAUUUUUUUUUACACGUUUUAUACAAUAAUUAUAUAAUUUGUACACUUU